This 1632-nucleotide ribosomal RNA is filed under the name Triticum aestivum (bread wheat). Its description in RNAcentral is "partial small subunit ribosomal RNA". Lineage: Eukaryota; Viridiplantae; Streptophyta; Magnoliopsida; Poales; Poaceae. The record is from RNAcentral.
AUGCCGUCCCCUGCCGCCGUCGACCCCCUGAGCGGCUACUGCGCCGUCACGAGGACCUUCCACAGCCUCCGCGCGCCCAUCCCGCUGCCGCCCCCAUCCCCGCCGCUCUCCUUCCCGGCCUUCGCCUUCUCCCUCCUCCCCUCCCCGCUCCCGGCCCACGCCGCCUUCCUCGAUGCCGCCACCGGCGAGGCCGUCCCCUUCCCGGCCUUCCUCGGCCAGGUCCGCGCCCUCGCCACGGCUCUCCGCGCCCACCUCCACAUCUCCCGCGGCGACGUGGCCUUCGUCCUCGCGCCCCCCAGCCUCCACAUCCCCGUGCUCUACUUCGCGCUCAUGGCCGUCGGCGCCGUCGUCUCCCCCGCCAACCCGGCCCUAACCGCAGGGGAACUGGCCCACCUCGCCGCGCUCUCGAAACCCUCCGUCGCCUUCGCCGUCUCGAGCGCGGCCGGCAAGCUCCCACCCGGGCUCAGCGCCGUCCUCCUCGACUCGCCGAGAUUCUCCUCGUUCUUGCACGGGCCCGGCGAUGCCUUGGUCAUGGACGCCGCUGUGAUGCACCAAUCGGAUCCGGCGGCGAUACUCUACUCCUCCGGCACCACCGGGAGCGCCAAAGCGGUGGUGCUGACGCACCGCAACCUCAUGGCGACACGCGUCUUGCCUGGUCCGGCGCCGCCAGGCGAGGUUCUGAUGCUGACCGUGCCGCUCUUCCACGUCUACGGAUUCGUGUUCUGCCUCAGGCCUGUAAUGGCGGCGCAAACACUUGUGUUGCACACGGCGGGGAGAUUUGACACCAGGGGGGUGCUGGCAGCGGUGGGGAGGUUCCGGGUGACGCGGCUAGCCCUUGCGCCGCCGGCGCUGCUGGCGAUUGUGCGAGCAGCUGAGGACGACGAGAGUGUGGCUGCCAGCGCAGCAACGCUGCAGGUGGUGCUCUGCGGCGGCGCAUCCCUCUCACCGGAGCUUGUACGGCGGUUCUCGCAUAAAUUUCCCCACGUCUUUGUUUCACAGGGAUAUGGACUGACCGAGACUACAGCUGGUUUUUGCCGUUCCACUGGAGUAGAAGAAAGUCGACGAAUCGGAUCAGUUGGGCGUCUUUCACCGGGCGCUGAGGCGAAGAUUAUUGAUCCUGCAACAGGGCAUGCUCUGCCUCCGGGUCUGCCAGGCGAGCUUUGGGUCCGAGGACCUUUUGUAAUGCAAGGCUACCUUGGUGACAAGGAAUCCACCUCUGGGAUUUUGGAUUCUGAAGGGUGGUUGAGAACCGGGGAUGUUUGUGUCAUCGACAAAGAUGGAUUCCUCUCUGUGGUUGACCGGCUGAAAGAGAUAAUUAAGUACAAGGGCUACCAGGUUGCUCCUACAGAACUGGAGGACCUGCUUCAAACGCACCCAGGUAUCGACGAAGCCGCAGUUGUUGGAUACGCCGACGAUCAGGCUGGCGAAUUGCCGGUGGCAUUUGUCGUAGGACGCUCCGGAAGCAACUUGCAUGAGGCACAGAUCAAAGACUUUGUCGCUAAACAGGUCGUGCACUAUAAGCGAGUACAUCGUGUUUUCCUUGUGGAUUCCAUACCGAAAAAUGCUGCGGGGAAGAUCUUGCGGAAGGACUUGGCUAAGUUAGCAUUGCAUCGGAUUAACGCCAAAUUAUAA